This 1929-nucleotide long non-coding RNA is filed under the name Volvox carteri. RNAcentral describes it as "long non-coding RNA (VCAR_LNC000185)". Lineage: Eukaryota; Viridiplantae; Chlorophyta; Chlorophyceae; Chlamydomonadales; Volvocaceae. The record is from RNAcentral.
GGCCUCACUGCGGAGGACUGCGCCAUCUGGUUCGGCAGCUGAGCCCAGGCGUACUGCAUGGCCGCAUCAGGUCGGCCAGUACCACCCACCUCUUCUUGGGCUUGCGCUUCGGCAUCGUGCAGCCGCCCUCCUGCGCACGCCUCCCCUGCUGCUUCGCGGCCGCCUCUUCGCAGUGUCCAGGUUGCAGGAAAGGGUAUGGAAGUGAUGGCAAGGCGUGAAGAGGGGUGCACCUUCAUGCUUCUCCCCAGGCCCAGGCAUUGUGCCGACACCACCGAGCUCCUGCCGCCGCGUGCGCUGCAAGACCAGACGACUGCCGUGGAUUCCAGCUGCUGGUCGUGUGCCCACAAGCACGCCAUAGCAGUGGUAUAUCGGUAUGUGCGGGAAUGGCCUACGCAGUUAGCGUAUGGCUGUGGGCACGUACUCGGGAGGAAUGAAGGCUUACACACAACCCAAAAGUCCAAGAAAAGGUUCACUAGCGAAAAGGUUGUGUCGGAGCUGAGGACGCGACACGAUAGACAGCCCGACUGCAAAGCCCGCGCUUGCAGUUACAGUGCGGCAUUAUCGAGCAGGUGCGCUAGGCGUCUAAGGCACAAGCCACUGGGCUGCCUGGCAAUGACCGCCUCAGAGGGAGUCCUUAAAGUGCUUCAGAUAGCGCCGGGUGUGCCGCGGUAAUGGAUCCGCCAUUCCAGAACACAAUCCAUGUUGCAUGGGAACCCCAUGUUUUGGCUAACCCGCAGACAGACCUUCAUUUCCGCUAAUAAGACGCCUAUCUGACCCUGAUCCAGCAAUAUCAAACCCUGCACAGCGUCCGUACCAUUGGGGCCCUCAAUCAAGUUGACUUUGGGGCCGGUCUCUAGCACUAACUCGUGCCUAUGAAGCUCUGUUCAGAUGGGGGGGUGUCAGCUGGCACAGGGGAAGCAGUUUAGCAUCCCAGGAGGAUGGGUGAAAACGCAUGGCGGGGUCAACUAGGACUGGGGCUCCGUACGGCAACCCUUACAAGACGGCCAUGCCUAGCCCAGUCACUACAGGACGGAGCCGGGAGGACACACGGCUGCAAUGAAGACAUGCUUACGAAACGCCCGCGAGCAGCAAAGUUUCCCAAACUUUCCUAGCUCACCAUGAAGUCCUAGACGUUCCGGCGGCCCAGGGCGCAAACUUGCAAUCCAAGAGCGGGCCAGGUGAAACGGUUGGUAAGAUCAUUGGCAUGCAUCGUUACAGCAUUGCCAUGGCCGCAACAAUUACCUUUAGCUUGAGCCGCUUAUAGCACCUCUCGGAUAGAGACCAACCUCCGCUAUGGCUGACUACAACAGAUCAACGCAUGCCCGAGCACACUUCAUCGCAAAGUAUAAUGUAUCUAUUGCGGGCAUCGCCCAGCCACGCGGCUCGGUUCCGUAAGCAACCAAGCAUUUCCUGUCAGAUGCCCUGCUCCCAGACCCCGACGGGACAACCCGUUAUCAUUCAUGGCAUACCAUCAUCGAGAUUCAGAUCGGCAUCUCAACCUAAGGAAACAGCGCUGUAGCAAAGUGUGUAACUUUCCCAAGCUCCGUACCGGCGUUGCACUCUGAUUGUAAUGCCCUGCACACCGUUAGCCCUCAAACCUUCUAACUUGGAGACGCUGUAAUACACUCCUUCUUGGCGAGCAUUAUCGUCCAUUCUGAAUGGUGCGUGGAUAGGAAGGCCACAGACGUAACCUCUGCAUAUUGAAGCAUUUUUCUCCACCUGACGACAGCAACGUAUUUUUGUAUCAGGGCCCAAACAAAUGAGGGGCUUUUGACGCACUGUAACAGUUCCCAGCGUCUUUUAAGCCCAUGCUGGAGCUGUGGGGAAGUCGCCUGUUCCCCGGCCAGAGUGGGCUAUAAAUGUAUACUCGUAUCCGUGUUCCUACGGAGUUAAAGCCGACGCCUCCACAGGUUCUUGAGGUGCGUGGAG